GCCGGGGUGGCGGAAUUGGCAGACGCACGGGACUUAAAAUCCCGGGGGCCUCACGGCCCGUGAGGGUUCGAUUCCCUCCCUCGGCACCA
Molecule: transfer RNA, 89 nt
Filed under: Syntrophomonadaceae bacterium
Lineage: Bacteria; Bacillati; Bacillota; Clostridia; Eubacteriales; Syntrophomonadaceae
Also listed under: 1 other name
Description: tRNA-Leu
Rfam family: tRNA
About the family: Transfer RNA (tRNA) molecules are approximately 80 nucleotides in length.
Source: RNAcentral